CGGGACGGGUGAGUAACGCGUGGGUAACCUGCCUUAUACUGGGGGAUAACAGCCAGAAAUGGCUGCUAAUACCGCAUAAGCGCACAGGACCGCAUGGUUCGGUGUGAAAAACUCCGGUGGUAUAAGAUGGACCCGCGUUGGAUUAGCUGGUUGGCAGGGCAGCGGCCUACCAAGGCGACGAUCCAUAGCCGGCCUGAGAGGGUGAACGGCCACAUUGGGACUGAGACACGGCCCAGACUCCUACGGGAGGCAGCAUG
Molecule: ribosomal RNA, 257 nt
Filed under: uncultured bacterium
Lineage: Bacteria
Description: partial 16S ribosomal RNA
Rfam family: Bacterial small subunit ribosomal RNA
Source: RNAcentral